UAUCGCGUAUACAAUCUGCCUCAUACUAGGGAAUAGCCCGAAGAAAUUUGGAUUAAUGCCCUAUAGUAUCUUUUUAAGGCAUCUUAUUAAGAUUAAAGGUUACGGUAUGAGAUGAGUAUGCGUUCUAUUAGCUAGUAGGUGUGGUAACGGCACACCUAGGCUACGAUAGAUAGGGGCCCUGAGAGGGGGAUCCCCCACACUGGUACUGAGACACGGACCAGACUCCUACGGGAGGCAGCAGUAAGGAAUAUUGGUCAAUGGACGAAAGUCUGAACCAGCCAUGCCGCGUGCAGGAUGACUGCCCUAUGGGUUGUAAACUGCUUUUAUAUAGGAAGAAAAACUUUCUCGUGAGAAAGC
This 357-nucleotide ribosomal RNA is filed under the name uncultured Bacteroidota bacterium. RNAcentral's name for it is "bacterial SSU rRNA". It matches the Rfam family "Bacterial small subunit ribosomal RNA", at positions 111 to 468 of the family's 1533-position model. The record is from RNAcentral. Lineage: Bacteria; Pseudomonadati; Bacteroidota.